This 72-nucleotide transfer RNA is filed under the name Ovis aries (sheep). It matches the Rfam family "tRNA". Rfam says of the family: Transfer RNA (tRNA) molecules are approximately 80 nucleotides in length. Their secondary structure includes four short double-helical elements and three loops (D, anti-codon, and T loops). Lineage: Eukaryota; Metazoa; Chordata; Mammalia; Artiodactyla; Bovidae. The record is from Rfam by way of RNAcentral.
UCUCUGGUGGUCCAGUGGUUAGGACUCCACGCUUUCACUGUGGAGGCCCAGGUUCAAUCCUUGGUUGGGGAA